This is a long non-coding RNA of Felis catus (domestic cat), 1187 nucleotides long. RefSeq lists it as uncharacterized. NCBI's taxonomy places the organism in Eukaryota, Metazoa, Chordata, Mammalia, Carnivora, Felidae. The transcript is spliced from 3 exons. The record is from RefSeq and is a predicted model, not a curated record.
CCUGGUAUUUAUAUGAGCAACUCUCCAGAGUUAAAUUAGUCAUAUAUUUGGGGGGAAAGGUAAGAAUUUUACAAAUCACAGCCUUGUAGGAAACUCGCAGGCAAGGAUGACUUUUCAGACUCUACUGAGAAUCCACACUUUAAAAUAAAAAUGCUACCAUUAUACAUUCUUAAAACAUUUCUAUCAAAGACCUGCAUUAUAAUGCCUACUUUAGAGAUGAGGAAACUGAGGCCCAGUUCGCCCUAGGUGCUCAACACAAGUGACAUGGCAACAUGACAAGUUAGGUGACAGACAUAAGAGAUGAAAAUGACGACACUGGGCUCAGCUCUCUGUUCUCAGAAGUGUCUAGUCCAGUGAGGAGAGUACCUCAUGGAUUAAGAGAAUUCUUUUGGUGACAGAACAGAGGUAUGAAUCAAGUCAUAGAGGUAUAGAAGAGACAGAGUCUUCCUACAGUUGGGGUAGAGGAAGGGAGAGGAAUGGAUGAGGUAAAGCUAAAGGAAGCCGAUAUUGGAUUCGACUUUGAAGGAUGAAUAGUGCCAUGUGGACACGUCAGAGGACACAGCAUGUGCCACAACAUGGUGAUAUAAAAACAAAGCAUACUUUUCAGAACUAUGAAUGACUUAUGUCUGAAUCAAACAGAAGGAAGACCUCUGCCUCCUAGAGAGAUGAAGACACUAUCAAUGUGCAGCACCACUUGAAUUCUGGGUCAGCAAUAACCCUGCCACCAGACCAUAGAUGAUGAUGAAUUCCCUGGAGGCAUUUAACAAGAAUUUCUUCUGUUUGGAGAAUAAGAACACCUGCAAGCCAUGUUCAGUUUACAACUCCAUGGCUGUUCUUUGCCAUUCUCGAGGAGUUUCAUCCUAUGUAAGUUAUUAAUAAGUUACUAAUAUUACUAUGUGUAGUAAUACUAUAUAUAUAAUACGGUGUGUGCUGUUCAGCCAAAGUCAAGGGGCUCCUAAGUAGCGUUCUGAUGCAGUUUUGGAUGCUCCCUUCUUUCUGGCACUCUACCCUCAAACUGAAAUUACCUUAGUCUCUCCAACUUCUGAUCUCUGUCUCCUCAACUUAUCUAGACCAAUAUGUUUGCUUGGGAUUCCCAUCCUUGCACUUGAGUAUAGAAAAUGAUUCAGGGGGUGCCUGGGUGGCUCAGUCUGUUGAGCAUCUGACUUCAGCUCAGGUCAUGAUCUUGU